UUUUGUGCCAAGGCAGCCGCGGUAAUCCCAGCKCCMWUWGYGWRURUYWRAGUURUUGUGGUUAWAMAGCUCGUAGUUGAACYUUGGGCCUGGCUGGCCGGUCCGCCUCACCGCGUGUACUGGUCCGGCCGGGCCUUUCCCUCUGUGGAACCCCAUGCCCUUCACUGGGUGUGGCGGGGAAACAGGACUUUUACUGUGAAAAAAUUAGAGUGCUCCAGGCAGGCCUAUGCUCGAAUACAUUAGCAUGGAAUAAUAGAAUAGGACGUGUGGUUCUAUUUUGUUGGUUUCUAGGACCGCCGUAAUGAUUAAUAGGGACAGUCGGGGGCAUCAGUAUUCAAUUGUCAGAGGUGAAAUUCUUGGAUUUAUUGAAGACUAACUACUGCGAAAGCAUUUGCCAAGGAUGUUUUCAUUAAUCAGGAACGAAAGUUAGGGGAUCGAAGACGAUCAGAUACCGUCGUAGUCUUAACCAUAAACUAUGCCGACUAGGGAUCGGACGAUGUUAUAUUUUGACUCGUUCGGCACCUUACGAGAAAUCAAAGUGCUUGGGCUCCAGGGGGAGUAUGGUCGCAAGGCUGAAACUUAAAGAAAUUGACGGAAGGGCACCACCAGGGGUGGAGCCUGCGGCUUAAUUUGACUCAACACSGGGAAACUCACCAGGUCCASACACAAUGAGGAUUGACAGAUUGAGAGCUCUUUCUUGWUUUUGUGGGUGGUGGUGCWUSRCSGGCUUYUAUAAGKUGGGUGGARUKWUUUUUUGUCKGSUUUAAKUGSAGAUAAMSAAMRAGAACCCCUURACCYGGCURAAUAGCCCGUAUUGCUUUGGCAGUACGCUGGCUUCUUAGAAGUACUCUCGCCUCAAGCCCCGCAGC
RNAcentral lists this ribosomal RNA (869 nucleotides) under Fusarium sp. bharathilaxmimmk. Its description in RNAcentral is "partial 18S ribosomal RNA". It matches the Rfam family "Eukaryotic small subunit ribosomal RNA", at positions 562 to 1448 of the family's 1831-position model. The record is from RNAcentral. Lineage: Eukaryota; Fungi; Ascomycota; Sordariomycetes; Hypocreales; Nectriaceae.